This 1265-nucleotide long non-coding RNA is filed under the name Homo sapiens (human). RNAcentral's name for it is "HSALNT0110729". Lineage: Eukaryota; Metazoa; Chordata; Mammalia; Primates; Hominidae. The record is from RNAcentral.
GCUGUUCCUAUUCGGCCAUCUUGGCUCCUCCUCUCGAAAAUGAUCUUUCUUUUUCUUUUUCGUGGAUGUUUUCAUUUUUACUUCUGUAAAAUGAAAAGUAAUGUUCAAUUCAAUGUUGGCUGACAUUGAAUAAUAAUUCUUUUUCUUAAAAAGUACAAUCUGAACUUUUACAGCAUAAAUGAUAAAUGGCAACAUUUGCUGUAUCUAACCUGGUUACUAUAUAAGGCACAAAAAGAGCUCAGAAGAUAAGACUGAACAACUGCCAUUUUUCUUGCUUGAAGAUCUUCAGUACCACAAGAGUGGGCCCACUAUUUACUCCUGAGCAGUCACUGUCCUUGUAGUUGUAAUUUUGUGCUUGGGUAUUCUCCAAAGCCUCUUGUUCCUUUGAAAAUUAUGUAUUUUCAAACAUCGGUGUUCUGGUCCUUGGAUCAUGGCUAUACCAUGCCUCCUGGAGUUUCAGUUAAUGUGGAGCUUUCAGAACUGUGAACUGUUGUCUCCACAUCUGAUGCUGAAGCUCGAAGCCUAAGGCACAAGCAGUUAGGAAGGGAAGGUCAUAAGCAGGCUGGAACCCACAAGCAUGAGCUGGAACCCUGCAAAGAUGGACUGAAACCCUGUUUGUUCUUGUUGCCUCUGACCCUAGUGAUGAGUGUGUCCUGCAGAAGCCAGGCCCUUCAUCGUGGAGUUAACCUGACACCUGGCCCAGGAGUCAGAGGCGCUGAAGGAGGAUUCAGGGCAGGUGGAUCGAGUUUGGGCCCAGAUGCUGCUCAAUACCAUGACAGUGAGCCAUGAGCUCAGCAACAGUUUGUGUGAGCUACAGAAUGGCUGCAUCACUUCUGCUGCUCCAAGAAGCUCACACAGAGAAAAAGUAAAUCCCUUCGUAAGAAGCUGAGAUAACAGAAUGAGGAAACUGGUCCUAGGCCAGAAAAGAGGAAUGUUCUCAGGUGAAGCGCCAAGUAUGUCACUGAAAGCCCAGUGGAGUUAAGUGUGCAAAGUCAGUCUGAACAUAUGCUGUAAUGGAUUUGACCUCGAAUAGCACUACAAAGAGAAAUUGCAGAUAACCAUCUGAACUGACUUCUGAAGCUUGUAGUUCUGGCUCCUGAGAUACAGAGAGAAAAGUGAGACCAAACAGGUGGGAGCAAACAACUCAGAGAGACCAGAAUGAAUACGAGUCUAACUUUAAAAGUAAAUAAAAUUAAAUAAAAAUGAUUUAUUCUAUAGCUCUUUGUCUUUUAUUGGUUCCCACACAAUGUCCACACAAUAAACAG